This 443-nucleotide ribosomal RNA is filed under the name uncultured bacterium. Its description in RNAcentral is "bacterial SSU rRNA". It matches the Rfam family "Bacterial small subunit ribosomal RNA", at positions 28 to 507 of the family's 1533-position model. The record is from RNAcentral.
GAUGAACGCUGGCGGCAUGCCUAAUACAUGCAAGUCGUGCGAGAAGCUAUCUUCGGAUAGCGGACAGCGGCGGACGGGUGAGUAACACGUAGAAAUAUACCCCAAGGUGAGGGAUAAGCAUCGGAAACGGUGUCUAAUACCGCAUAUUAUCUAAGGAUAAAAGAUUUAUCGCCAUGGGAAUAGCCUGCGUCUGAUUAGCUAGUUGGUAGGGUAAAGGCCUACCAAGGCGAUGAUCGGUAGCUGGUUUGAGAGGAUGAUCAGCCACACUGGGACUGAGACACGGCCCAGACUCCUACGGGAGGCAGCAGUAGGGAAUUUUCCACAAUGGACGAAAGUCUGAUGGAGCAAUGCCGCGUGCAGGAUGAAGGUCUUCGGAUUGUAAACUGCUUUUAUAGUUGAAGAUUAUGACGGUAAGCUAUGAAUAAGGACCGGCUAACUACGUG